AGAGUUUGAUCCUGGCUCAGAGCGAACGCUGGCGCGUGCGGCGCUACCAUGCAGUCGAACGGAUCCUUCGGGAUUAGUGGCGGACGGGUGAGUAACACGUGGGAACGUGCCUUUUGGUUCGGAACAACUCAGGGAAACUUGAGCUAAUACCGGAUAAGCCUUUCGAGGGAAAGAUUUAUCGCCAUUAGAGCGGCCCGCGUAGGAUUAGCUAGUUGGUGGGGUAAAGGCCCACCAAGGCUACGAUCCUUAGCUGGUCUGAGAGGAUGAUCAGCCACAUUGGGACUGAGACACGGCCCAAACUCCUACGGGAGGCAGCAGUGGGGAAUCUUGCGCAAUGGGCGAAAGCCUGACGCAGCCAUGCCGCGUGAAUGAUGAAGGUCUUAGGAUUGUAAAAUUCUUUCACCGGGGACGAUAAUGACGGUACCCGGAGAAGAAGCCCCGGCUAACUUCGUGCCAGCAGCCGCGGUAAUACGAAGGGGGCUAGCGUUGCUCGGAAUUACUGGGCGUAAAGGGAGCGUAGGCGGAUAGUUUAGUCAGAGGUGAAAGCCCAGGGCUCAACCUUGGAAUUGCCUUUGAUACUGGCUAUCUUGAGUACGGAAGAGGUAUGUGGAACUCCGAGUGUAGAGGUGAAAUUCGUAGAUAUUCGGAAGAACACCAGUGGCGAAGGCGACAUACUGGUCCGUUACUGACGCUGAGGCUCGAAAGCGUGGGGAGCAAACAGGAUUAGAUACCCUGGUAGUCCACGCUGUAAACGAUGAGUGCUAGUUGUCGGCAGGCAUGCCUGUCGGUGACGCAGCUAACGCAUUAAGCACUCCGCCUGGGGAGUACGGUCGCAAGAUUAAAACUCAAAGGAAUUGACGG
This 861-nucleotide ribosomal RNA is filed under the name Caulobacter sp. C3R17_pA. RNAcentral's name for it is "bacterial SSU rRNA". It matches the Rfam family "Bacterial small subunit ribosomal RNA", at positions 8 to 916 of the family's 1533-position model. The record is from RNAcentral. Lineage: Bacteria; Pseudomonadati; Pseudomonadota; Alphaproteobacteria; Caulobacterales; Caulobacteraceae.